This 220-nucleotide ribosomal RNA is filed under the name uncultured bacterium. RNAcentral describes it as "partial 16S ribosomal RNA". It matches the Rfam family "Bacterial small subunit ribosomal RNA", at positions 1162 to 1382 of the family's 1533-position model. The record is from RNAcentral.
GGGGGAGGAAGGUGGGGAUGACGUCAAGUCCGCAUGCUCCUUACGUCUAGGGCUACACACGUCCUACAAUGGGGUCGACAAUGGGAUGCAAUAUCGCAAGAUGGAGCCAAUCCCCAAACGGCCUCUCAGUUCGGAUUGUAGUCUGCAACUCGACUACAUGAAGUUGGAAUCGCUAGUAAUCGUGGAUCAGAAUGUCACGGUGAAUACGUUCCCGGGUCUU